AUGCUUAGGCUUAGGCUUAGGCUUACGCUUAGGCUUAGGCUUGAGCUUAGUCUUAGGCUUAAGCUUAGGCUUCGGCUUAGGCUUAAGCUCAAGCUUGGAUA
This is a non-coding RNA of Caenorhabditis elegans, 101 nucleotides long. Lineage: Eukaryota; Metazoa; Nematoda; Chromadorea; Rhabditida; Rhabditidae. The record is from Ensembl.